AACGCACAUUGCGCCCGCCAGUAUUCUGGCGGGCAUGCCUGUUCGAGCGUCAUUUCAACCCUCAAGCCCCAGCGGCCUGGUGUUGGGGACCGGCGACCUCGCCCGAGCCCGCCCUCCGGGGCGCGUGCCCGGUGCGUCCGCCGCCCCCGAAAUGAAUUGGCGGCCUCGUCGCGGCCUCCUCUGCGUAGUAGCACAACCUCGCAAGCGGGAGCGCGACGCGGCCACUGCCGUAAAACGCCCAACUUUUUUAGAGUUGACCUCGGAUCAGGUAGGAAUACCCGCUGAACUUAA
This 291-nucleotide unclassified non-coding RNA is filed under the name Metapochonia sp. RNAcentral's name for it is "partial contains 5.8S ribosomal RNA, internal transcribed spacer 2, and large subunit ribosomal RNA". The stretch from base 1 to 52 matches the Rfam family "5.8S ribosomal RNA", at positions 103 to 154 of the family's 154-position model. The record is from RNAcentral. RNAcentral also lists the same sequence under 2 other names. Lineage: Eukaryota; Fungi; Ascomycota; Sordariomycetes; Hypocreales; Clavicipitaceae.